RNAcentral lists this ribosomal RNA (253 nucleotides) under uncultured bacterium. Its description in RNAcentral is "partial 16S ribosomal RNA". It matches the Rfam family "Bacterial small subunit ribosomal RNA", at positions 524 to 776 of the family's 1533-position model. The record is from RNAcentral.
UACAGAGGUCUCAAGCGUUGUUCGGAUUCAUUGGGCGUAAAGGGCGCGUAGGCGGCGUUCCAAGUUAGGCGUGAAAGUCCUGGGCUCAACCUGGGAACUGCGCUUAAGACUGGAAUGCUAGAGGAUGGAAGAGGGUUGUGGAAUUCCCAGUGUAGAGGUGAAAUUCGUAGAUAUUGGGAAGAACACCGGUGGCGAAGGCGGCAACCUGGUCCAUUUCUGACGCUGAGGCGCGAUAGCGUGGGGAGCAAACAGG